AUACGGCCAAAUCAAGUUGAAACACCGGUACCCGUACGAUCACCGAAGUUAAGCAACGUCAAUCCUGGUCAGUAAUAAGAUGGCUGAUUGCUUGGGAAUACUAGGAACUGUAAG
This is a non-coding RNA of Acanthosepion pharaonis, 114 nucleotides long. NCBI's taxonomy places the organism in Eukaryota, Metazoa, Mollusca, Cephalopoda, Sepiida, Sepiidae. The record is from the annotation of a GenBank genome assembly.